Molecule: ribosomal RNA, 253 nt
Filed under: uncultured bacterium
Lineage: Bacteria
Description: partial 16S ribosomal RNA
Rfam family: Bacterial small subunit ribosomal RNA
Source: RNAcentral
UACAGAGGGUGCAAGCGUUGUUCGGAAUUAUUGGGCGUAAAGCGCGUGUAGGCGGCUUUGCAAGUCGGGUGUGAAAUCCCUCAGCUCAACUGAGGAAGUGCGCCCGAAACUGCAGAGCUUGAGUGCCGGAGAGGGUGGCGGAAUUCCCCAAGUAGAGGUGAAAUUCGUAGAUAUCAGGAGGAACACCGGUGGUGUAGACGGCUCACUGGACCGUAACUGACGCUGAGACACGAAAGCGUGGGUAGCAAACAGG